AUUGAACGCUGGCGGCAUGCCUUACACAUGCAAGUCGAACGGCAGCACGGGAGCAAUCCCGGUGGCGAGUGGCGAACGGGUGAGUAAUAUAUCGGAACGUGCCCAGUCGUGGGGGAUCACGUAGCGAAAGCUACGCUAAUACCGCAUACGAUCUAUGGAUGAAAGCGGGGGAUCGCAAGACCUCGCGCGAUUGGAGCGGCCGAUAUCAGAUUAGGUAGUUGGUGAGGUAAAGGCUCACCAAGCCGACGAUCUGUAGCUGGUCUGAGAGGACGACCAGCCACACUGGGACUGAGACACGGCCCAGACUCCUACGGGAGGCAGCAGUGGGGAAUUUUGGACAAUGGGCGCAAGCCUGAUCCAGCAAUGCCGCGUGCAGGAUGAAGGCCUUCGGGUUGUAAACUGCUUUUGUACGGAACGAAACGGCGAGCUCUAAUACAGUUUGCUAAUGACGGUACCGUAAGAAUAAGCACCGGCUAACUACGUGCCAGCCGCCGCAGUAA
This 500-nucleotide ribosomal RNA is filed under the name uncultured bacterium. Its description in RNAcentral is "partial 16S ribosomal RNA". It matches the Rfam family "Bacterial small subunit ribosomal RNA", at positions 30 to 523 of the family's 1533-position model. The record is from RNAcentral.